RNAcentral lists this ribosomal RNA (500 nucleotides) under uncultured bacterium. Its description in RNAcentral is "partial 16S ribosomal RNA". It matches the Rfam family "Bacterial small subunit ribosomal RNA", at positions 30 to 523 of the family's 1533-position model. The record is from RNAcentral.
AUUGAACGCUGGCGGAAUGCUUUACACAUGCAAGUCGAACGAUGAACCUUAGCUUGCUAAGGGGAUUAGUGGCGAACGGGUGAGUAAUGUAUCGGAACGUAUCCAAUAAUGGGGGAUGACUAGUCGAAAGAUUAGCUAAUACCGCAUACGUCCUACGGGAGAAAGCUAGGGACCUUCGGGCCUGGCGUUAAUGGAGCGGCCGAUAUCUGAUUAGCUAGUUGGUGGGGUAAAGGCUCACCAAGGCGACGACCAGUAGCUGGUCUGAGAGGACGACCAGCCACACUGGAACUGAGACACGGUCCAGACUCCUACGGGAGGCAGCAGUGGGGAAUUUUGGACAAUGGGCGAAAGCCUGAUCCAGCCAUUCCGCGUGAGUGAAGAAGGCCUUCGGGUUGUAAAGCUCUUUCGCAAGGGAAGAAAACUUAAGCUCUAACAUAGCUUGAGGUUGACGGUACCUUGAUAAGAAGCACCGGCUAACUACGUGCCAGCAGCCGCCGUAA